This 2717-nucleotide long non-coding RNA is filed under the name Paramuricea clavata. The record is from RNAcentral. Lineage: Eukaryota; Metazoa; Cnidaria; Anthozoa; Malacalcyonacea; Plexauridae.
GUAGAUAGUGAAAUAUUCAUGACGUCAACUCGGAGAAUAUAGUCAUGCAUGCAGCCUACUUACCUACAAUUAACGAAACAAUGUUUUAUUUAGAUGGGACGAUGACGUUGUUUUUAAAAAUUGUGCAAAAGGCAUCCCAGAAAAAGGAAAGGUCGGUGUGAAAGAUAUUUAUUUAUUUAUUUAGUACGUAAUGUUUGUUUCAGAAAGUAAUGGGCAUAGUACAUCAAACAAAUAUGAAAUUCUUUUUCUUGGCUAAGUCGUCUACGCCCAUGCACCGCCAUCCAAUUAAAAUACUUGGUUACCUAGUCUCAACUACACACGUAAAAAUAUCACAACUUGUCAACAAGAUGUGUUCUCACACGCUUAUGGCAAGCUUGUCAACAAGUUGUAACAGUGCUGUUAUUUUAUCAAGUUGCUACAGGAUUGUCACUCACAACUUGUUGACAGAUUGUUGAAGUUUUUGUUGAAUUGUUGAAUUAACAGGCUUGUUACAACUUGUGCGUCUUUACGCGUGUAGUCCGUCAUAUAUGUCAAAACAGUGGUAAACAUGCAUGCGGGUGUUUCAAAAACGAACCCCUACGAAAACAAAGACCUAAGAUGUGUCUUCGUUUUGUAAUUGCCAAAACAAUCUUACUGUAGGUCUUCGUUUUCGUAGUUCUUCGUUUUCGAUAAACUUGCGAGUUAUCCAAAAAUGUGAAUUUAGCUGAUGAGGUCUACGCCUGAGUGAGAUUUUAACAGACACAAACAGUGGAGUAUUUCCCUAUCACAUUAUGUGCUUGUUAUAGAUGAUAUUCUUAUUUCACUGUUGUUGUAUUUUAGGAAGGGAAGUUUAUUAACGAUACUUUGAGGUCGGAAUUUCACAAGAAAUUUAUGAACAAAUAUAUAAAGUGAGGUUAUUGGAUCAUGAUGACGCGCUAUACAUACAUAAAUGUACAUUGAAGAUACUUGUCUUUGGGCAAUACUUUGGAGCUUCUGCACAAUACUUUGAGCUACUGUACUGUACAAUAAAUUACAUUAAUGCAUUUUGUAAAUACGCUGGUUGAUAGUAAUUUAGAAAUGUAUCUGAUUUACUGUAAUCUCAGCGGACAGCUAUCACUGACAUGAAAUGAGGAUUGAAAAAAUGUGGUGCAUGAUGGGAAUGAUCAAGGCUCAAAUUUGUUUUCGUCGUUGCACUCCUCAGUCGACUGACCUAGACCUGACGACUGGGUACGAGUCUCCCCUAUUUUUUAUUGAAAGUGCACAGUUAGUUACGAUUCUGACACUUUGGGCGAAUCUACUUCGUUGCAAUGAAUCAGCUUGAAAAAUAUACUGAGUCGAGGUUUCUAACUUUCCAGACGAAGAGCCUUCGCUGAACACUCGCAUUUGGAAAUAAAAACUAGUGCUUGUUGAAUUUUGGGAUUUUUUGCUAUAAUAAGGGCCCUAUAUCCCUCUCUAAAGAGCAUUCACGUGUAGACUAAAUAUUUUUAUAUUUAAAUAUUUUUAUAUUUAAAUAUUUUUAUAUUUAGUCUUCACGAAUCACGAGUCGUGAAAACUUGAAAAAACUCAUUCACGUUUAUGAAAAAAUCGAGGCAAUCACGAUUCGGUAGGAAUAUAAAAAAAUUCACGAAUUUAUAUUACUGCGUAAUAAAAUUAUCAAGUAUACAGAGUACUUGCUGUUUGCUGCGUCGUAAGACACUCAGAUAAACGGAAAACAACAAGAAUUUCGAUCCUAUUCAAUCCUAAAAAUCUACGAAACGAUCACGUUCAUUUCAAUCCUUAAUUCAUUCACGGAUCACGGUGGAACCUCGCUUUCAAGUGCAUGUGAAGAUUUGAUACCAUACGAUCACCAAUCACGGAUUAAAAAAUCAUGGAUCACCCUGUUAGUAACCUCGUUCCCAGGGUUCCUAGGCCUAGCAUAAUAAAGAUUUAAAUUACACAAAACGGAAUUGAGUUUUUCUUGUCCCCAGGCGUCUUAAUUUUCCAUAACCUCAUCAAUCUGGCGAACCCAGAGCCAUCCGUUCCCAGGGUGAGGGUCUUUCUCUUUUCUGAGAAUAUUGAGGGGCCCUAUACUUUUCGCGUGAAGCGUGAUGGAUUUAUUUCUGGUUUGCCGUGAAACAAAGAUCAGAUGAACUGUAAUUGUAAACAUUAGUAGGUAACAGGAUUUGGGGAACUCACGAAAUGUUGAAGGCAAUUUUGAGUGUAUAUUUUAUACAUUUUUACACCUAACCAGGAGCAGUUGUGUGAUUUACACUCGAAAUUGCCAUCUACAAAAAUUAACCCUUCAAGAUAUAGUACCGCAAACCUCUUUUGAAAUAUUACAGAUAGGCCCCGAUUACUUUUGACACUUGUGGUCACAGUGCUGUAAGUAACUUCGUUAAAAGUAACUAAUUACAAGUAAUCGUUACAUUUUUCAGUAACGGUAACGGUAACUUGUUACAUUUUGAGAACAUGUAACUGUAUAACGGUAACUAGUUACAAAAAAUGCCAUAAAAUUGAAACGAUUACAAGUUAUUUUGCCAAAGUUACAAGUUACAUUUUGUUCAUUGCUAUUUGUGUACGUUUUUAAAAUGAAAUAAAUCAAUACACAGUCAGGCAUGCAAGCUCUUAAUCAUCUGCACAGGAAUAAUUUAAUCUGACACAACAGAAUCCGUUCAAGACACAAAUUUAAGUCAAGGAUUGACGUCAAAUUUACGUACAGUUGGAACUGAUCGGAAUGCCGUCGCUCGCCUUCACUUGGG